GAUGAACGCUAGCGGCAGGCCUAAUACAUGCAAGUCGGACGGGAUUCAGGAGCUUGCUUCUGAUGAGAGUGGCGCACGGGUGCGUAACACGUAUGUAACCUCCCUUUAUCAGGGGGAUAGCCUCUCGAAAGAGAGAUUAAGCCCGCAUAAAAUCACAGCACAGCAUUGUGUAGUGUUCAAAUAUUUAUAGGAUAAAGAUGGGCAUGCGGAACAUUAGCUAGAUGGCGGGGUAACGGCCUACCCUGGCGACGAUGUUUAGGGGAUCUGAGAGGAUGGCCCCCGAGAGGGGGACUGGGCAAAGGACGAGAGUCAUACGGGCGGCAGUAGUAAGGAAGAUUGCACAAGGGGCGGAAGCCUGAACGAGCGAUGCCGGGUGCAGGAAGACGGCCCGACGGGUUGUAAACUGCUUUUAGACGGGAAUAAACCCAGAUACGUGUAUCUGGCUGAAGGUACUGGAAGAAUAAGGAUCGGCUAACUACGUG
This 482-nucleotide ribosomal RNA is filed under the name uncultured bacterium. RNAcentral's name for it is "partial 16S ribosomal RNA". It matches the Rfam family "Bacterial small subunit ribosomal RNA", at positions 28 to 507 of the family's 1533-position model. The record is from RNAcentral.